UUAUUGGUGUUCUGGUGAGAUUCAGACAUAAGCCGAUUGCCCUUGCAGCAGACGUAGAAGGGAUGUUUCAUCAGGUCAGAGUUCCUGCUAAAGAUAAAGAUCUGUUAAGAUUCCUUUGGUGGCCUAAAGGGGACACUGCACAGGAAGUGGAGGAAUACAGAAUGAGUGUCCACUUAUUUGGUGCUACAUCCUCCCCAAGUUGUGCAAUCUACGCUUUGCAAAGGUGUGCAAAGGACAACAGUGCACAGCAUAGAUCAGAGGUAAUUCAGACAGUCCUUAGGAAUUUCUAUGUGGAUGAUUGUUUGUCGUCUGUGGCUACUGAACAGCAGGGUAUUGCUCUAAUGCAUGACUUAAGGGAGAUGUGUGCAUCAGGAGGAUUUAAUUUGACCAAGUGGAUGUCCAACAGUCGCACUGUACUUGCAUCCAUAAGUGAGGAGAGCAAAGCUAAGACAGUUAAGGAUUUGGACCUGGAGAAAGACAAGUUACCAUUGGAAAGAGCUCUAGGGGUUCAGUGGUGUGUUGAGACAGACACUUUGCAGUUCAAAGUAACCCUACAGGAAAAGCCUCUUACAAGGAGAGGUAUAUUGUCCAUGGUCAGCUCCAUUUAUGAUCCCCUUGGAAUACUUUCUCCAGUUAUUCUUCCUGCAAAGCAAAUACUGCAGGAGCUUUGUAGAACAAAACAUGACUGGGAUGACAAGAUUCCAGAAACUCUCAGACAUCAGUGGAAUCUGUGGCUGGCUAGUCUUCAGAACUUGAAUGACUUUCAGGUUGAAAGAUGCAUGAAGCCACUUAACUUUGGUGAAAUCACCUCAGCGCAGCUGCAUCAUUUUGCAGAUGCCAGUGAGCUGGGUUUUGGCACAGUGUCAUACUUGCUCAUGGAGAAUCACAGAGGUAACCAACAUUGUGCAUUUGUUAUGGGUAAAGCAAGGGUUGCUCCAGUAAAAACAGUUACCGUGCCACGUCUUGAGCUUACUGCAGCUACAAUGGCUGCUAGAAUGGACAAUAUGCUGAAAUCUGAAUUGNACUUGAUUCUUCAGGAGUCUGUAUUUUGGACAGACAGUACUUCAGUCCUGAAAUAUCUCAACAACGAAAGCACGCGGUUCCGUACAUUUGUGACCAACAGGGUAACUGCAAUCAGAGAGCUCUCAAAGGCGUCGCAAUGGAGGUAUGUGAAUUCUUCUUCCAACCCGGCCGACAUUGCCUCAAGAGGACUUACUGUAGAUGCUUUCCUUAAAGCAAAUUCAUGGCUCACAGGUCCAUCCUUUCUGACAAAGCCAGAAUCAGAGUGGCCAAAAAUGCCUAGUUACACCCUUAAGUUAUCUGUUAAUGAUUUGGAAGUUAAGGAAGUCUGCGUAAAUGCAGUGAGUGCAGACAAUUCUGACUAUACUUCUCAGUUCUUUUCACACUACUCCGAUUGGUACCGUUUGAAAAGAGCCAUUGCAUGGUUCCUCAAGUUUAAAAGCACUCUGAAGACACUAAUGGAAAAAAGAAAUGAGCUGUGCCACAGUCUAAGAGACAAUCUAGCAGUGAAUUCUGAACUUCAAAACUUCAAAUCUUCGCUGUCAGGGGUUACAUUGACUGUAAGUGACCUUGAAAAAGCUGAGGAAGAGAUCAUUCGCUACAGCCAAACAAUCAUGUUUCCAGAGGAAAUCAAAGCCCUCCAGCAAGGUAAAACUGUAAAACACAGCAGCGCUCUCUACAAGUUGUCACCAGUUUUGCAAGACAAAAUUCUAAGAGUAGGUGGCAGACUAAGCAGGUCAUCUAUGCCUGAGGAGGCCAAGCAUCCUGCUAUUUUAGCAAAGGACCAUCCUGUUUCACAUCUGAUCUUAAGAUCAAUUCAUGCAGAUGUGGGUCACAGCGGCCGUAAUCACAUGUUGUCAAAGUUACGGGAAAAAUACUGGAUUCCAAAAGCACAAACGGCCAUCAGAAAAAUCCUAUCUCAAUGCACAAUUUGUAAACGCCAGCGCGGCACUACAGGCAAACAAUUCAUGGCUGACCUUCCCCGUGACAGGCUUUUGCCAGAUGAACCCCCAUUCACAAAUGUAGGCAUUGAUUAUNNNNNNNNNNNNNNNNNN
Molecule: long non-coding RNA, 2075 nt
Organism: Cyprinus carpio (common carp)
Lineage: Eukaryota; Metazoa; Chordata; Actinopteri; Cypriniformes; Cyprinidae
Source: Ensembl